Molecule: long non-coding RNA, 3578 nt
Organism: Nothobranchius furzeri (turquoise killifish)
Lineage: Eukaryota; Metazoa; Chordata; Actinopteri; Cyprinodontiformes; Nothobranchiidae
Source: RefSeq, a predicted model, not a curated record
AGCAGAAGUGCUCACUAUCACACAUUACAGAUUUGUGAACAAUGUUUGAGAGCAAUGGUUAACACGUCUCUGCUCCAGAGGAGCAUGAGUUUGGUCUGCAUAGCCGGUAGUAAGUCGGACCUGUUCCCAGUGAGGGUUGGACUCCGCCAGGGCUGCCCUUUGUCACCGGUUCUGUUCAUCACUUUUAUGGACAGAAUUUCUAGACGCAGCCGUGGUGUGGAUUGUGUCGAGUUUGGUGGCAGGAGAAUCUCGUCUCUGCUUUUUGCAGAUGAUGUGGUCCUCCUAGCUUCAUCCAGCUCUGACCUUCAGCUCUUGCUGGGUAGGUUCGCGGCCGAGUGUGAAGCGGCUGGGAUGAGGAUCAGCACCUCCAAAUCUGAGACCAUGGUUCUCGACUGGGAAAGGGUGGCUUGCCAACUCCGGGUCAGGAGAGAGGUCCUACCUCAAGUGGAGGAGUUUAAGUAUCUCGGGGUCUUGUUCACGAGUGAGGGUAGGAGGGAUCGGGAGAUUGACAGGCGGAUUGGUUCAGCGUCUGCAGUGAUGCAGUGGUGGUGUAUCUUUACAGUAUGUUCUAAUGGGAAACAGGCUUCAACGCAAACUGUUGUUUUCCGCUUGGUCCUAGAGCUCAACCAGUGUCAAUUUAACAUAGCAUAAUUGUCAUGACUCCCAAUCCUUCACCCUCCUCAGCCGUCAUGCAGCACACCUGGUCUCAUCAUCAAACCCCAGCCAAGCCCUGUUUUCCUGACUACCACAAUCAGCUUCAUCCACUUCACCUGCUUCUGACUCCUCAGCUCAUCACUCGCACCUGUUUCCCCUGCUACAAAAGAACCAGCCAUCCAGUCAUUCAGGGCCAGAUUAUUGAAACAUUUGCCAGUAAAUUCUCCAGCCAUCCACCCUGCCUGAUCUCUGCCUCCGGACCUCGUUUUUUCUCCUGACCCCUGCUUUGAACUCUGCCUGCCAUCACAACCCUCGCCUGUCUUCUACCACGUCUCCAGCCUGCUCCCUGUACCUGCUUGUGCCGAUCUGGUUUUGACUCACGCCUGCCCUCCGACUCUGUCUCCUGCCUCGCCCUCCUCUGGUUUCCAUGGUGAUGUCAUGGGGGUCAGAAGUCACUUUGUGAGAUGUAGCUGGACUCACGGAGGCAGACAGGGAGGUGGUGGAAGGAGAUGACAACAUCUUGUGGAGACAGGAAGUGGACUGUUUUAGCCAAUCAGGGAUUAAUGGAUUUCAGGCCUCUCCCACUGAGGCAGGGUCAAGUGAAUCUCGGCUGUUAUCUCUGCUGUGAUCUCCAGAAAUAUUCAUGGUGCCUGCAGAGGAAUACAGCAUGUAGAAACAUUAGAUGGGAACAUGUUCAGCACACAUGCAAAAGGUCUGAGAAGAUGCAUUCAUGUCGGAACACGUAGGACACGCAGUCUAAAUCAGCUUUCUGCAGGGGAGGACAGAACAGGGAGCACGAGCUGGCGUUUGCUGCUGCUAUUUUCUGCCCAUUAGAAGGAAAUGGACUCAGUCAACCAAUCAGAAGUUCGCGUCAUGCUAGUGGGUCCUGCCAGAACCAAGGUGAGAACCCCAGACUGGAUGUGCUGCUGUUGGACCAAAGUGGUGCCCUGACAUCAGUACCAGGAGGCGUCUUCUUUUCGGGCUUGUAGAUGAAUAAGACAGUAGAUGUAAUCAGAACCAGAACCAGAACCAUCAAUCCCACCAAACAAACAAUAAAAAACAUAAAAACUCAAGUAGACACAAGUUUGCUGUCAAACAACCACAUGAACUUUUCUUCAUUUUUUUAAAAAGAUUUCCUUAAAGUUCUAGAAUGUCCAAAAUGGUCCAUAGAACCUUCUGGAGUGAGUUCUGAGGGAGGUUUUCAGAGUCUACUGAAUGAGUACCACAUCUGUAAACUUCUGGGCAGUUCUUCUCACCUGUUCAGAAUAAUAGAAACCAUCAGGCCAGGUGUACUGGUUCAGGAGCAAACGUUAGACCAUGCACAUUCCUGUUGAAUAACUAUAUCACUGUGGUGACAUCAUGAUUUUUAUUUGCUGCUUUUUAGUUUAUGUGUUUUUAUACCAAACUUUGGUUUCAUGGCUGUUCAUGGCUGUUGUAAAAAGCUUGUAUGAAUACAAUUAUGACUGAUAGGUUGAGUCUGGCAGAUGUUGCUACUAUGUAGCUCAUCACCAUUCAGUGUGUGAAUGGCUGGUUAUGUUGUAAAGUGCCUUAGGGGGUUGUAGAACUCUAGAAUGUGUGUGUGUGUGUGUGUGUAAUGUAUGUAUUUAUAUACAUACAGUUCACUGUUUUACCUAUCCAUCCUUUGAUGCGUAGUCUUAAGCUUCACAUUGUCUGAAUAAAUGUUGUAUGAAUGUAUCCUGAAUCUACUCAGAUCAACCAGAAUCGGCAAAGCAACAGAAAAGAGAUAAAAACCAACCAAAGAUGUCAGAACAAUACAACUGCAGAUCCAGAAAAUGAACACAAAGUAAAACGGAGCCCAUAAUGGUCUGACCUGCCUGUAGAACAGAGUCUGGCAUAAAUUAGGUCCAGGUCUAAUCCAGCUUUGAGUCAGAAUCCCGCUACAUCCCAUCUGCUAGAAUCUGAUUUCAACAACCAACAGUCCAUGAUCCAUUAUCCACCAGUCGCACAUGUGAGACAGAAAGAGAAAUCUCACCUCCGCUCAGUCCAGCAGCUGAUCGUCUCUGAGAGGAGCUACAGGGAGGAGGGGGGCGGAAGGUUAGCUGUAAGGAGAGGCGGGACAUUCUGGAUUAGGACCAGGACAUAUAGAAUACAGAUUAUUACUAAUUCUCUUGCUUGUUUUGCAGAACUGCAUAAUGACUUUGGUUUUAUUCGGGGUUUGCACUACUGCAGUUAGCAUGUUCUCCCCACGCUUGCCCUGCUCAUGGGGGCAACAGUGGCAGAGGAGGUAAGUUCUAGCACCUGUAACAAGACGUUUGCUGAUUUGAGCCCAAUCUGCCAGUCAUUGUGACCUUGGGCAAAACACUUCACCCCUAUCCUCCUGGGUGGGGUGCGUCGGGGGACCGGAGUCUUCUAACAGUGUGUCCCAGGGCAGCUAUGGCACCAAUGUAUGAAUGGGUAAAUGAUUGGUUCAUGUUGUAAAGGGUCUUGCAGGGUUGUAGAACCCUAGAAAGGGCUACAUCAAAUAUACCAUUUAAUAAACUCUUUACCUAGCCUAGAUAUUUCUACAGACGGGCCCAGUCCCAAUACUCGCCCUGCACCCCACAAUCCUCAGCAAAGGGCACCUGGAGGCUUCCAUUGAGUAGCACACAAGUGUGCACAUAUUUGCUGAAUGGAGACAGUGAGCAUUACAUCAUCAACCGCUACUCACAUGCCGGUUGUCUGGAAUGGAUUACUUCUCACAAUUAGACAGUCUUCAUCCAUCGCUCUUGAAAUCACAGCUGCUUUUAUGUGUCACAAACUCCUCCUCCUGACCACCCCCUACGGACCCAACUGGCGGACUACUACACUUCCCAUUAUUCCCAUCACCAGCGUGGCUCGUCGACGUCAUCACGCCGACUCUAUUUACGGAAGUGCCGCCGCUCAUUCAUCACUCAGUCAUCGUUCAUACCAGACAUCGACCCGAG